AAUUUGCAAAAGACCAGAGUAACUCAAUUUCAAUGUGUAAAAGACAGCAAAUAGGUCACUGAGAAUGGAAGUAAAAGUAGCAACAUCGGGUAUUAGCAGGGCCACAACAGAAGUAAAAUAAACACUUUAAUCAGGAAAUUGGGACCAUCAGCAUUACCUUUCUGUCACCCAUAGUAGCAACUGAGGUUUCCGACCUCAUCCAGGUAACACAGAUGGAGAAAGAACUGCAACGGGAGCUCAGUGAGGAGCAGCCCUCAUGGGAAGCUGUGGAGGCACCAGGAAAUAAUUGCAGGGCACAAUGCAAUGCCAACACAGGUGUGAUUGACAUUACUGGCAGCUGAGAGAACUACUGCUUCUGGCCUUUUUCUAAAGGUAGCAUUGUCUAGUGAAGACUGACAGAUUUCCUUACAAUCAGUUGAUAACCUUGGAAAAAGCAGAGAAGAAAAGCUGUGUCUUUCAGAUGCCUUCAGAAGAAAGGAGACCAUAUGGUUGCUUCACAGCUGCCUCUGUGACUUCAUCUUUGUGACUCUGGAUGCCCAGCAAGACCUCCUGGAGUUCACCUGCAGGACCUCUUCCCAUCCAAUUUUAAAUUGUUCCUGUCAUUUCUACCUGACUACAUGUAAACUUCCUAUUGUUUUCUCCCUACUCUCUGUCAACUUUUUUCACUCUUCUUAGAUAGUAAACUACUCAGAGCAGAAACCUUCCUUCUUGAAUGUUUGGCAAGUGCCUAGCAUACAGUGGGGACUACUAUAAAUGUGCAACAAGUAACUCUAGACCUUACAUUGCAUACAUAUUCAAACCAUAUGGGAAGUGAUAUACAGAGCAGGGUUGCAGGAGCCAUCUCUUAACUGCAGUCACAGAAGAUCAGAAGAGGGAGGUGGAAGAGGGAAAGAAUGUAAAUUUCAGGUGGGAAAGGUUAAGAUCACAUGAAGACUUUCAUUCAGUGAAAAUUUUUGUGAAAUUUCCCCCUUUAAUGAGCAUUUUUCUCCUUUGCCUCCAUUUCCUCUGAUAGUGGCUGGGGGUUUUUGCAGCAAAGGAAAACAGUUUUGAAAUGGAUACCUUUUUCUGUUUCGUAUGAACCACCAGUAGCACUGGUUUAAUGAGACCUCAGUCCUAAAUGUCUUGUGGAUCUAAAGAAAAAU
Molecule: long non-coding RNA, 1142 nt
Filed under: Anas platyrhynchos platyrhynchos (common mallard)
Lineage: Eukaryota; Metazoa; Chordata; Aves; Anseriformes; Anatidae
Description: lncRNA (ENSAPLG00000020335.1)
Source: RNAcentral